RNAcentral lists this ribosomal RNA (1493 nucleotides) under uncultured prokaryote. RNAcentral describes it as "partial 16S ribosomal RNA". It matches the Rfam family "Bacterial small subunit ribosomal RNA". The record is from RNAcentral.
AGAGUUUGAUCAUGGCUCAGAUUGAACGCUGGCGGCAGGCCUAACACAUGCAAGUCGAGCGAGAAAGCACUUCGGUGCGAGUAGAGCGGCGGACGGGGGAGGAAAGCGUAAGGAAUUUGCCAGUAGUGGGGGACAACUUAGGGAAACUUAAGCUAAUACCGCAUACGCCCUAAGGGGGAAAGCAGGGGAUCUUCGGACCUUGCGCUAUUGGAUGAGCCUGCGUCGGAUUAGCUAGUUGGUGAGGUAAUGGCUCACCAAGGCGACGAUCCGUAGCUGGUCUGAGAGGAUGAUCAGCCACACUGGAACUGAGACACGGUCCAGACUCCUACGGGAGGCAGCAGUGGGGAAUAUUGCGCAAUGGGGGCAACCCUGACGCAGCCAUGCCGCGUGUGUGAAGAAGGCCCUAGGGUUGUAAAGCACUUUCAAUUGGGAAGAAAAGCUGUUGCUUAAUAAGUAACAGCCCUGACAUUACCUUUAGAAGAAGCACCGGCUAACUCCGUGCCAGCAGCCGCGGUAAUACGGAGGGUGCGAGCGUUAAUCGGAAUUACUGGGCGUAAAGCGCGCGUAGGCGGUUAGUUAAGUCGGAUGUGAAAGCCCCGGGCUCAACCUGGGAACUGCAUUCGAUAUGGGUAGCUAGAGUACAGUAGAGGGAAGCGGAAUUCCUAGUUAGCGGUGAAAUGCGUAGAUAUUAGGAAGAACACCAGUGGCGAAGGCGGCUUCUUGGAUUGAUACUGACAUGAGGUGCGAAAGCGUGGGGAGCAAACAGGAUUAAUCCCCUGGUAGUCCACGCCGUAAACGAUGUCUACUAGCCGUUGGGAGACUUGAUUUCUUAGUGGCGCAGCUAACGCGAUAAGUAGACCGCCUGGGGAGUAUGUCGCAAGAUUAAAACUCAAAUGAAUUGACGGGGGCCCGCACAAGCGGUGGAGCAUGUGGUUUAAUUCGAUGCAACGCGAAAAACCUUACCAGGCCUUGACAUCCUGAGAACUUUCUAGAGAUAGAUUGGUGCCUUCGGGAACUCAGUGACAGGUGUUGCAUGGCUGUCGUCAGCUCGUGUCGUGAGAUGUUGGGUUAAGUCCCGUAACGAGCGCAACCCUUAUCCUUAGUUGCCAGCACAUAAUGGUGGGCACUUUAAGGAGACUGCCGGUGACAAACCGGAGGAAGGAGAGGAUGAUGUCAAGUCAUCAUGGCCCUUACGGCCUGGGCUACACACGUGCUACAAUGGAGAGUACAAAGGGUUGCCAAGCCGCGAGGUGGAGCUAAUCCCAUAAAACCGUUCGUAGUCCGGAUCGGAGUCUGCAACUCGACUACGUGAAGUCGGAAUCGCUAGUAAUCGUGAAUCAGAAUGUCACGGUGAAUACGUUCCCGGGCCUUGUACACACCGCCCGUCACACCAUGGGAGUGGGUUGCUCCAGAAGUGGCUAGUCUAACCUUCGGGAGGACGGUCACCACGGAGUGAUUCAUGACUGGGGUGAAGUCGAAACAAGGUAGCCGUA